CACACUUUUCCUCCUUUUUUUCUCGGAAGACUACACAAACCAUUCAGACAUGAAUCGGCGCUCUCUCUCCGCUUUGGAGACGGCUACAAGUGGGAAUGUUACUAAACCCACAUACCACAUUUAUAAAAUCACACCCACACAGUUUAGAUAUAAGACUACUGACAUCCACCGUACUUCAUUGGCGCCGGUGGUUCAUCCAUCAAAUUCUCCUUUUCACACUAUAUAAAAUUGAGACGCGAUGUAUAGAUCGUCUUGGAAGACCGGUGGUUCCUCCUCCACCUUGCCAUUUUCACACUAUAUAAAAUUGAGACGCGAUGUAUAGAUCGUCUUGGAAGACCGGUGGUUCCUCCUCCACCUUGCCA
This 362-nucleotide unclassified non-coding RNA is filed under the name Hevea brasiliensis (rubber tree). The record is from RNAcentral. Lineage: Eukaryota; Viridiplantae; Streptophyta; Magnoliopsida; Malpighiales; Euphorbiaceae.